Long non-coding RNA from Fukomys damarensis (Damara mole-rat), 623 nucleotides. RefSeq lists it as uncharacterized. Lineage: Eukaryota; Metazoa; Chordata; Mammalia; Rodentia; Bathyergidae. The record is from RefSeq and is a predicted model, not a curated record. The transcript has 3 exons.
CCUCAUCCAAUUCAGAGGGCGUGGAUUCCUGAGAGACGCGUGAGUGUUCUCCCUGGAAAACAUGUCUAUAAGCACACAGAGCUACGCACAUGCACACAAAGGCUGCAUAUUAUCAGGAGACAUUCCCAGGGCCCCAUGACACAGAUGCCCACUGUAACCUCACCCAUGGAAUGUUCAGGGCCCUUUCCCACCCAACCUCUUCCCCUUGUUCGCCCUUGGGUCUGUCCACCUCUUUGGCUGCUUUGUCCAGUGCCACUCAUGUGAUGUGCAGUGCUGACUUCCUCGUUCCUCCUCUAGGAUGGCCAGGAGUUAAGCCCCCCGGUUGUCACUGAGGUUGAUACCCCCAGGUUAAUGAAAUCCUGCAAGGAAAGCUGUAAGGUAUCCGAGGCCUCCAAGAAUCUGGUUCUGCGAUUCCUGAAGGAUUAUUACUUGAUCUACGACUAUGGAGAUCGACAGGGUCUCCUCAGCACUUACCACGACGAGGCCUGCUUCUCCCUGGCCACGUCCCUGGAUCCUGGACACCUAGACAUGUGAGCGUCACAGCUUAGACUCCGGUCUUGGGCUGUGCGUGGCUCCCCGGCAGACACGGCGUAGAGCCUGUGAACACACGUGCCGCCUGGACC